RNAcentral lists this ribosomal RNA (467 nucleotides) under uncultured bacterium. Its description in RNAcentral is "bacterial SSU rRNA". It matches the Rfam family "Bacterial small subunit ribosomal RNA", at positions 28 to 507 of the family's 1533-position model. The record is from RNAcentral.
GACGAACGCUGGCGGCGCGCCUAACACAUGCAAGUCGAACGAGAGAUGAGGAGCUUGCUCUUCAAAUCGAGUGGCGAACGGGUGAGUAACGCGUGAGGAACCUGCCUCAAAGAGGGGGACAACAGUUGGAAAUGACUGCUAAUACCGCAUAAGCCCACGGCUCGGCAUCGAGCAGAGGGAAAAGGAGCGAUCCGCUUUGAGAUGGCCUCGCGUCCGAUUAGCUAGUUGGUGAGGUAACGGCCCACCAAGGCGACGAUCGGUAGCCGGACUGAGAGGUUGAACGGCCACAUUGGGACUGAGACACGGCCCAGACUCCUACGGGAGGCAGCAGUGGGGAAUAUUGCACAAUGGGGGAAACCCUGAUGCAGCGACGCCGCGUGGAGGAAGAAGGUCUUCCGGAUUGUAAACUCCUGUUGUUGAGGAAGAUAAUGACGGUACUCAACAAGGAAGUGACGGCUAACUACGUG